UGCUACAACAAGGCAGUGGGUGAAGGUGUU
This 30-nucleotide non-coding RNA is filed under the name Homo sapiens (human). Lineage: Eukaryota; Metazoa; Chordata; Mammalia; Primates; Hominidae. The record is from RNAcentral.